AAUCUUCCACAAUGGGUGCAAACCUGAUGGAGCAAUGCCGCGUGAAUGAAGAAGGUCUUCGGAUCGUAAAGUUCUGUUAUUAGAGAAGAACAAGUCAAGGAGUAACUGUCUUGACUUGGACGGUACCUAACCAGAAAGUCACGGCUAACUACGUGCCAGCAUCCGCGGUACUACGUAGGUGACAAGCGUUGUCCGGAAUUAUUGUGCGUAAAGGGAGCGCAGGCGGUUGGAAUAGUCUGAUGGGAAAGCCCACGGCUUAACCGUGGAAGGUCAUUGGAAACUGUCCAACUUGAAUGCAGAAGAGGUAAGUGGAAUUCCAUGUGUGGCGGUGAAAUGCGUAGAUAUAUGGAGGAACACCAGUGGCGAAGGCGACUUACUGGUCUGUGAUUGACGCUGAGGCUCGAAAGCGUGGGUAGCGAACA
RNAcentral lists this ribosomal RNA (422 nucleotides) under uncultured bacterium. RNAcentral describes it as "partial 16S ribosomal RNA". It matches the Rfam family "Bacterial small subunit ribosomal RNA", at positions 360 to 774 of the family's 1533-position model. The record is from RNAcentral.